GGAGCUAAUACCGGAUAAUAUAUUGAACCGCAUGGUUCAAUAGUGAAAGACGGUUUUGCUGUCACUUAUAGAUGGAUCCGCGCCGCAUUAGCUAGUUGGUAAGGUAACGGCUUACCAAGGCGACGAUGCGUAGCCGACCUGAGAGGGUGAUCGGCCACACUGGAACUGAGACACGGUCCAGACUCCUACGGGAGGCAGCAGUAGGGA
Molecule: ribosomal RNA, 207 nt
Filed under: Staphylococcus epidermidis
Lineage: Bacteria; Bacillati; Bacillota; Bacilli; Caryophanales; Staphylococcaceae
Description: partial 16S ribosomal RNA
Rfam family: Bacterial small subunit ribosomal RNA
Source: RNAcentral